Molecule: ribosomal RNA, 497 nt
Filed under: uncultured bacterium
Lineage: Bacteria
Description: partial 16S ribosomal RNA
Rfam family: Bacterial small subunit ribosomal RNA
Source: RNAcentral
GAUGAACGCUGGCGGCGUGCCUAAUACAUGCAAGUCGAGCGAACAGAUGAGGAGCUUGCUCCUCUGACGUUAGCGGCGGACGGGUGAGUAACACGUGGAUAACCUACCUAUAAGACUAGGAUAACUUCGGGAAACCGGAGCUAAUACCGGAUAAUAUAUUGAACCGCAUGGUUCAAUAGUGAAAGACGGUUUUGCUGUCACUUAUAGAUGGAUCCGCGCCGCAUUAGCUAGUUGGUAAGGUAACGGCUUACCAAGGCAACGAUGCGUAGCCGACCUGAGAGGGUGAUUGGCCACACUGGAACUGAGACACGGUCCAGACUCCUACGGGAGGCAGCAGUAGGGAAUCUUCCGCAAUGGGCGAAAGCCUGACGGAGCAACGCCGCGUGAGUGAUGAAGGUCUUCGGAUCGUAAAACUCUGUUAUUAGGGAAGAACAAAUGUGUAAGUAACUAUGCACGUCUUGACGGUACCUAAUCAGAAAGCCACGGCUAACUACGUG